Sinocyclocheilus grahami is the source of this 626-nucleotide long non-coding RNA. RefSeq lists it as uncharacterized. NCBI's taxonomy places the organism in Eukaryota, Metazoa, Chordata, Actinopteri, Cypriniformes, Cyprinidae. The record is from RefSeq and is a predicted model, not a curated record. The transcript has 3 exons.
CUGUACUAAACUUUUUUUUUUUAUUGUAGAAUUGGCAAAGGUUUUCAGGGAGUGAUGAAGCGCUGGGGGUUCAAAGGUCAGCCAGCUUCCCAUGGACAAACUAAAACACAUAGGAGGCCAGGCUCUCUGGGGCCGGGAGGGGACCCAGCAAAAGUUUUCAAAGGAAAAAAGAUGCCAGGCAGGAUGGGAAACAUUUACGACACCAAUCAUGGCUUGAAGCCAAAUACAUGUUCUGCUGAUACUUCUGCUCUGCAUUACACUGUGCAGUUUACAUGCUGCAUUGCAUAUACUGGAUGGCAUAAACAUUUUGUUGUACGUUUAUUAUACAUCAAAAUACACGGUAAGCACAAUUUCAAAGCUCAGCUGUAGUAUCUUGUGCUCAGGAGACAAAAUAAUAAACUUUUUGAAAUAAAUUCUGUUGUAGGAACAAGGUAGAUUUAUACUUUUAAAUCCAGGCAUGACCAAGUUGUGUAUACAAGGUGUCAUACACCAAAAUGACAAUAUUGCAAGACUCACUUGACGGUGAAACACGUGCUUUUGGUUUGUCCAAUAUUUAAUGUCAUGAGACAAAGGUUAUUAUCAGGACAAACUCUUAAGGACUUGUUUUAUAAGAUGGACCCAGAAAA